RNAcentral lists this long non-coding RNA (210 nucleotides) under Bos taurus (domestic cattle). Its description in RNAcentral is "long non-coding RNA NONBTAT023789". Lineage: Eukaryota; Metazoa; Chordata; Mammalia; Artiodactyla; Bovidae. The record is from RNAcentral.
CAACUGCCUAUUAAGCAUGUUAUGACCACCUGGCAUAGUGAGAAGCAGGAUUCCAGGGUGUAAUUUGAGAAGGCAGGGUAAGAACACAAGACUAUGUCAGUGACUGUCUAAUGUUCCUUUGAUGGAAAUAAAAAUAGUAUCCUGAGUGCUCUGAUUCAGUGGUGCCUGUUCACAUCUAGGACCUGUUGUGAUAUGUCCUCUUGGGCAGAG